CUGCCGGAAGGUCGAAGCCGGGGAAAUGACGUUUCCCGAGCUCAAGCUCUAUAGAAACAGAAUCAGCAAUUUCCUGACUCCUCCCAACUGCACCGUUUACCCACUGCCUGUCAUGGU
This 117-nucleotide ribosomal RNA is filed under the name uncultured eukaryote. RNAcentral's name for it is "partial small subunit ribosomal RNA". The record is from RNAcentral.